This 440-nucleotide ribosomal RNA is filed under the name uncultured bacterium. RNAcentral's name for it is "partial 16S ribosomal RNA". It matches the Rfam family "Bacterial small subunit ribosomal RNA", at positions 338 to 795 of the family's 1533-position model. The record is from RNAcentral.
CCUACGGGUGGCAGCAGUGGGGAAUAUUGCACAAUGGGGGAAACCCUGAUGCAGCAACGCCGCGUGAGUGAAGAAGUAUUUCGGUAUGUAAAGCUCUAUCAGCAGGGAAGAAGAUGACGGUACCUGAAUAAGAAGCCCCGGCUAACUACGUGCAAGCAGCCGCGGGAAUACGUAGGGGGCAAGCGUUAUCCGGAUUUACUGGGUGGAAAGGGAGCGGAGACGGGAGUGCAAGUCUGGGGUGAAAGCCCGGGGCCUAACCCCGGAACUGCUCUGGAAACUGUGCGGCUAGAGUACUUGAGGGGCAGGGGGAAUUCCUGGUGUAGCGGUGAAAUGCGUAGAUAUUAGGAGGAACACCAGUGGCGAAGGCGGCCUGCUGGACAGUAACUGACGUUGAGGCGCGAAAGCGUGGGGAGCAAACAGGAUUAGAUACCCCUGUAGUC